RNAcentral lists this ribosomal RNA (516 nucleotides) under uncultured Archaeospora. RNAcentral describes it as "SSU rRNA". It matches the Rfam family "Eukaryotic small subunit ribosomal RNA", at positions 569 to 1090 of the family's 1831-position model. Lineage: Eukaryota; Fungi; Glomeromycota; Glomeromycetes; Archaeosporales; Archaeosporaceae. The record is from RNAcentral.
AGCAGCCGCGGUAAUUCCAGCUCCAAUAGCGUAUAUUAAAGUUGUUGCAGUUAAAAAGCUCGUAGUUGAAUUUUAGGCCUGACCGGGCGGUCCGUCUUUGGCGAGUACUGUCCUGUGUCGGGUCCACCUUCUGGUGAACCAGUAUGUCCUUUAUUGGGUGUGCCGGGGAGCCAGGACCAUUACCUUGAAAAAAUUAGAGUGUUUAAAGCAGGCAUUUGCUUGAAUAGAUUAGCAUGGAAUAAUAGAAUAGGACGUUGUGGUUCUAUUUUGUUGGUUUCUAGGACCACCGUAAUGAUUAAUAGGGAUAGUUGGGGGCAUUAGUAUUCAAUUGUCAGAGGUGAAAUUCUUGGAUUUAUUGAAGACUAACUAUUGCGAAAGCAUUUGCCAAGGAUGCUUUCAUUAAUCAAGAACGAAAGUUAGGGGAUCGAAGACGAUCAGAUACCGUCGUAGUCUUAACCAUAAACUAUGCCGACUAGGAAUCGGGCGACGUAUUUUCAUGACUCGCUCGGCGCCUUA